This 440-nucleotide ribosomal RNA is filed under the name uncultured bacterium. RNAcentral describes it as "partial 16S ribosomal RNA". It matches the Rfam family "Bacterial small subunit ribosomal RNA", at positions 338 to 795 of the family's 1533-position model. The record is from RNAcentral.
CCUACGGGUGGCAGCAGUGGGGAAUAUUGCACAAUGGGGGAAACCCUGAUGCAGCGACGCCGCGUGAGUGAAGACGUAAUUCGUUAUGUAAAGCUCUAUCAGCACGGAAGUAAAUGACGGUACCUGAGUAAGAAGCCCCGGCUAACUACGUGCCAGCAGCCGCGGUAAUACGGAGGGGGCAAGCGUUAUCCGGAUUUACUGGGUGUAAUGGGAGCGUAGACGGUAGUGCAAGUCUGGAGUGAAAGGCGGGGGCUCAACCCCCGGACUGCCCUGGAAACUGGACGGCUGGAGUGCAGGGGAGGUAAGUGGAAUUCGUAGUGUAGCGGUGAAAUGCGUAGAUAUUAGGAAGAACACCAGUGGCGAAGGCAGCUUACUGGACUGUAACUGACGUUGAGGCUCGAAAGCGUGGGGAGCAAACAGGAUUAGAUACCCGAGUAGUC